This 656-nucleotide ribosomal RNA is filed under the name uncultured bacterium. RNAcentral's name for it is "bacterial SSU rRNA". It matches the Rfam family "Bacterial small subunit ribosomal RNA", at positions 61 to 719 of the family's 1533-position model. The record is from RNAcentral.
GUCGAGCGUGAACCCUUAGAAUGAAACUUCGGUCGAAUGAAGAGGGGGAAAGCGGCGGACGGGUGAGUAACGCGUAGGCAACCUGCCCCGUACAGAGGGAUAGCCUCGGGAAACCGGGAUUAAAACCUCAUAAUACCAUGGUAUCACAUGAUGCAAUGGUCAAAGAUUUAUCGGUAUGGGAUGGGCCUGCGUCUGAUUAGCUGGUUGGUGGGGUAACGGCCUACCAAGGCAACGAUCAGUAGCCGACCUGAGAGGGUAAUCGGCCACAUUGGAACUGAGACACGGUCCAAACUCCUACGGGAGGCAGCAGUGGGGAAUAUUGCACAAUGGGCGAAAGCCUGAUGCAGCAACGCCGCGUGAGCGAAGAAGGCCUUUGGGUCGUAAAGCUCUGUCGGGAAGGAAGAUAAUGACGGUACUUCCCGAGGAAGCCCCGGCUAACUACGUGCCAGCAGCCGCGGUAAUACGUAGGGGGCGAGCGUUAUCCGGAAUUAUUGGGCGUAAAGAGUGCGUAGGUGGUUGUUUAAGCGUGGGGUGAAAGGCAAUGGCUUAACCAUUGUGAGCCUCGCGAACUGGGCGACUUGAGUGCAGGAGAGGAAAGCGGAAUUCCUAGUGUAGCGGUGAAAUGCGUAGAUAUUAGGAGGAACACCAGUGGCGAA